UCAAGGGGUGCUUUUGCUGCACGGGCAGCAAGGGCUGAGAUGAUACCCUUAGAACCUGAUGCGGGUAAUGCCGCCGUAGGGAAAGG
RNAcentral lists this non-coding RNA (86 nucleotides) under bovine gut metagenome. RNAcentral's name for it is "TPP riboswitch (THI element)". It matches the Rfam family "TPP riboswitch aptamer (THI element)", at positions 11 to 88 of the family's 105-position model. Rfam says of the family: Vitamin B(1) in its active form thiamin pyrophosphate (TPP) is an essential coenzyme that is synthesised by coupling of pyrimidine and thiazole moieties in bacteria. The record is from RNAcentral.